Molecule: small nucleolar RNA, 137 nt
Organism: Tripterygium wilfordii
Lineage: Eukaryota; Viridiplantae; Streptophyta; Magnoliopsida; Celastrales; Celastraceae
Product: small nucleolar RNA Z247
Exons: 1
Source: RefSeq, a predicted model, not a curated record
GCGGUUGAUGAUGAUGAUCUUGUACUCUACAUCCUUGAUGGUUUGGGUGCCGAGUACAAAGGUAUUGUAGAAGCGAUUCGAGGUCGUGAAAAUCCCAUAUCUUUUGAGGAUCUCCAUGAUCGUCUUGUCAGUCAAGA